This 233-nucleotide long non-coding RNA is filed under the name Chrysolophus pictus (golden pheasant). RNAcentral describes it as "lncRNA (ENSCPIG00010011818.1)". The record is from RNAcentral. Lineage: Eukaryota; Metazoa; Chordata; Aves; Galliformes; Phasianidae.
UCAGGAUUCACAGAGGCUUCUUGUGCAGCUGUCUUGAGGGGAGCCUCUCACCUGGCACUGCUGGGUUGGAGCAGUGGCGUUGCUGGCCUAGCACCUCGUGCCUGCUGGUGAUCAUCUGCUGGAAUUGCCUUAUGCAGAGGAGCCUGAAGGACCUGUUGUCUAGAAAGUUUUCAUCUGUUUCAUUAGAGAUGCACUUGGGCCCUCAAAACACCAACUGGGUUAAAAGAAGGUAG